This 701-nucleotide ribosomal RNA is filed under the name Meloidogyne sp. AC-2011. RNAcentral describes it as "SSU rRNA". It matches the Rfam family "Eukaryotic small subunit ribosomal RNA", at positions 477 to 1189 of the family's 1831-position model. Lineage: Eukaryota; Metazoa; Nematoda; Chromadorea; Rhabditida; Meloidogynidae. The record is from RNAcentral.
ACGAGACUGUUCUCUUUGAGGCCGGUCAUCGGAAUGGGUACAAUUUAAACCCUUUAACGAGUAUCAAGCAGAGGGCAAGUCUGGUGCCAGCAGCCGCGGUAAUUCCAGCUCUGCAAAUACAUAGAAUUAUUGCUGCGGUUAGAAAGCUCAUAGUUGGAUUCGUAUCGAUACCUUGGAACCCUUCGGGUGUCUCUAGGUGUUAUCGAUUUAUCGUAAUGUUCGGUUUUGAGUCCUUAACAGGAUUCUUAACAGGCAUUGCAAGUUUACUUUGAACAAAUCAGAGUGCUUCAAACAGGCGUUUUCGCUUGAAUGAUCGUGCAUGGAAUAAUAGAAAAUGAUUUCGGUUCAGUUUUAUUGGUUUUACGGACUGAGAUAAUGGUUAACAGAGACAAACGGGGGCAUUUGUAUGGUCCCGUGAGAGGUGAAAUUCUUGGACCGUGGCCAGACAAACUACAGCGAAAGCAUUUGCCAAGAAUGUUUUUAUUAAUCAAGAACGAAAGUCAGAGGUUCGAAGGCGAUCAGAUACCGCCCUAGUUCUGACCGUAAACGAUGCCAACUAGCGAUCCGCCGAUGGAAAUUAUAUUGCCUUGGUGGGGAGCUUCCCGGAAACGAAAGUCUUCCGGUUCCGGGGGAAGUAUGGUUGCAAAGCUGAAACUUAAAGGAAUUGACGGAAGGGCACCACCAGGAGUGGAGCCUGCGGU